GGUGUUCAUCGCAAUUAUAAGAUUUAUCUGCUGUGUGAGCAAUUAUUUUGAUCCUCGCAACAACGUCCGCCAAACUCAUCUAUAUAUAAACAAUUAUUUGCAAAUUUUGUGUGAUAUAUUUCUCUUGUUUAGCUUCAUUUUUUGAGAGACUUGUAAGAAUUUAUCAUGGCAGAACACAAAGAUGAAAAAGCUGUUGCUGCUAGCGAUGCUAACGAUGUCACAUCAAACGAAGGUGUUGAAGAGCCACCGUUGUUCCCUGGAAAGCGGCCAAAUUACGGCACGAACAAUACAUUGGAGCUUUUGGAAAAAAUUCCCAGCAAAGUGGUGGAAACGAAAUUAGAUGAUGUCCUUAAAGCCGUGAAGGAUGUGGACAAUUUGUGCGACUAUACUCGUUGCAAAGCAAAAACCAAUUUAAUUGGUCACACUUGCGAAUACUGUCAAGGACGUUAUUGCUUUAAGCAUGGUCUGCCAGAAGUGCAUGGUUGUGGUGAAGCUGCCAAAAAUGGCGAACGUAAGCGUUUUUUACACCCUAAACCAGCCAAAACUAUCAAGCAAGAAGAAGAAUUAGCCAAAGCUAAAAAGAAACUAAAUGCAAAAUUGAAAGAUAUGCAAGUGGCCAGAAUGCAAAAGACUCCAGGAGCUAAAAGUGAUGUUGCUUCUAAAACUUCUAAGAAAAAGCCAAAUAAAACGUGAGAAUAAGAACAAUAGCGCUGCAGUUGUUUAGUAAAUACGAAAAGCGAACUGCGGAAGGACAAGAGCUGAGCUCCCAAAAACAUAUUUUCUGAUACGAGCCGCCUUUUGUCAAAAUUCUUAGUAUGAUGCCUUUGUUAUAAUUUCAAUUGGAAAUGUGCAUAUUUUUCAACUACAAAGAGAGAACCUCAUCACGUUCAAUAACUGCUGACUUUCAACUUGAUGGUUCUGAUAUUAUUUUAAUAGUACCCAUAUGGACAUUCGCUCAAUAUUUGUUGUUGGAAAUCUUCGUCCGCGAAUUUUCUCGGCUUAAUAUCUACGUUCUCGGAACGCUUAAAACAGUCUGUCCUUAGCAUAAAGUAAUUGAAACAAUUACUUAAAUUUUCGCAAAUUUCGGUUGAAACCGUCGGUUAUGCAAAUCCCAAAAGAAAAAAAUGUUUUUUUUU
This is an RNA transcript of Glossina fuscipes, 1136 nucleotides long. It is a transcript of the gene named DNA-binding protein SMUBP-2, with no coding region annotated. Lineage: Eukaryota; Metazoa; Arthropoda; Insecta; Diptera; Glossinidae. The record is from RefSeq and is a predicted model, not a curated record. The transcript is spliced from 4 exons.